Molecule: ribosomal RNA, 431 nt
Filed under: uncultured bacterium
Lineage: Bacteria
Description: bacterial SSU rRNA
Rfam family: Bacterial small subunit ribosomal RNA
Source: RNAcentral
AGGCAGCAGUGGGGAAUAUUGGACAAUGGGCGAAAGCCUGAUCCAGCCAUGCCGCGUGAGUGAAGAAGGCCUUAGGGGUUGUAAAACUCUUUCAACUGUGAGGAUGAUGACAGUAGCAGUAGAAGAAGCACCGGCUAACUUCGUGCCAGCAGCCGCGGUAAUACGAAGGGUGCGAGCGUUGUUCGGAAUUACUGGGCGUAAAGGGCGUGUAGGCGGAUUGGCAAGAUAGAGGUGAAAGGCCUGGGCUCAACCUGGGAACUGCCUUUAUAACUUCCAGUCUAGAGAUCGAGAGAGGAUAGCGGAAUUCCUAGUGUAGAGGUGAAAUUCGUAGAUAUUAGGAAGAACACCAGUGGCGAAGGCGGCUAUCUGGCUCGAUACUGACGCUGAGGCGCGAAAGCGUGGGGAGCAAACAGGAUUAGAUACCCUGGUAG